Hordeum vulgare subsp. vulgare (domesticated barley) is the source of this 444-nucleotide long non-coding RNA. RefSeq lists it as uncharacterized. The record is from RefSeq and is a predicted model, not a curated record. Lineage: Eukaryota; Viridiplantae; Streptophyta; Magnoliopsida; Poales; Poaceae. The transcript is spliced from 2 exons.
CGCAUACCAUCAUGGCUCAAGAGUAAACAUUGCAACAACACCACCCAGAUCCAGAUCAGAAAGAAGCCCCAGCAUCUCCUCAUGGCAAUCCUCGGCAAGAGUACUAGCGCUUUGUGCAUCAUAGGCCUAGUGCUCAUGGCCACUGUUCUCUCCUCAUGUGCCAGUUCUCCAAUCCCGAUCAAUGAAUGCAACGUCGGUCCAUUUCCCAAGGAAAACUGUCCUCAGCUAUGUCAUAAAGCAUGCUAUGGUGGCGUUUGCCUCUUAGGAGAUGACGACAAGUAUUACUGUUGCUGCGAACCAGUACGCCAAGAUGGAUCCAAGAGGCCUCAGGAGGUUGCUGAAAUGAUACAAACAUAGUGUCAUGGAUGACCAUAACCAUGUGGAAUAAAUGUGCUAGCUCUUCAUGCUGAUGUGGUUAAACAAAUAAUGUAUUUUUUGUCAAUC